RNAcentral lists this ribosomal RNA (253 nucleotides) under uncultured bacterium. RNAcentral's name for it is "partial 16S ribosomal RNA". It matches the Rfam family "Bacterial small subunit ribosomal RNA", at positions 524 to 776 of the family's 1533-position model. The record is from RNAcentral.
UACAGAGGUGGCAAGCGUUGUUCGGAAUUACUGGGCGUAAAGGGCGCGUAGGCGGUUCGUUAAGUCCUGUGUGAAAUCCCCCGGCUCAACUGGGGAACUGCACAGGAAACUAGCGGGCUUGAGUUCGGGAGAGGGAAGCGGAAUUCCGGGUGUAGCGGUGAAAUGCGUAGAUAUCAGAAGGAACGCCGGUGGCGAAAGCGACGUGCUGGACCUCUUCUGACGCUGAGGCGCGAAAGCUAGGGGAGCAAACGGG